UACGUAGGUGGCGAGCGUUGUCCGGAAUUACUGGGUGUAAAGGGCGUGUAGGCGGGGAUGCAAGUCAGAUGUGAAAUUCCAGGGCUCAACCCUGGCACUGCAUCUGAAACUGCAUUUCUUGAGUGUCGGAGAGGAAAGUGGAAUUCCCAGUGUAGCGGUGAAAUGCGUAGAGAUUGGGAGGAACACCAGUGGCGAAGGCGGCUUUCUGGACGAUAACUGACGCUGAGGCGCGAAAGCGUGGGGAGCGAACAGG
RNAcentral lists this ribosomal RNA (253 nucleotides) under uncultured bacterium. Its description in RNAcentral is "partial 16S ribosomal RNA". It matches the Rfam family "Bacterial small subunit ribosomal RNA", at positions 524 to 776 of the family's 1533-position model. The record is from RNAcentral.